AGCUGUUCCCCUCUGGAGGUUUCGACCUUCCAAUUUCAAGGGCCGCGAUCUCGCUGGCCCUUUUUUCUUACAAAG
This 75-nucleotide unclassified non-coding RNA is filed under the name Rhizobium sp. NFR07. Its description in RNAcentral is "suhB". The stretch from base 1 to 66 matches the Rfam family "Alphaproteobacterial ar15", at positions 44 to 112 of the family's 112-position model. The record is from RNAcentral. Lineage: Bacteria; Pseudomonadati; Pseudomonadota; Alphaproteobacteria; Hyphomicrobiales; Rhizobiaceae.